AUGAACAUCGACAUUUCGAACGCACAUUGCGGUCCACGGAUACAAUUCCCGGACCACGCCUGGCUGAGGGUCG
RNAcentral lists this ribosomal RNA (73 nucleotides) under Ophion sp. MS10765. RNAcentral describes it as "partial 5.8S ribosomal RNA". The record is from RNAcentral. Lineage: Eukaryota; Metazoa; Arthropoda; Insecta; Hymenoptera; Ichneumonidae.